RNAcentral lists this ribosomal RNA (430 nucleotides) under uncultured bacterium. RNAcentral's name for it is "bacterial SSU rRNA". It matches the Rfam family "Bacterial small subunit ribosomal RNA", at positions 29 to 507 of the family's 1533-position model. The record is from RNAcentral.
AACGAACGCUGGCGGCAGGCCUAACACAUGCAAGUCGAGCGCCCCGCAAGGGGAGCGGCGGACGGGUGAGUAACGCGUGGGAACGUACCCUUUGCUACGGAAUAGCCUCGGGAAACUGGGAGUAAUACCGUAUGUGCCCUUCGGGGGAAAGAUUUAUCGGCAAAGGAUCGGCCCGCGUUGGAUUAGGUAGUUGGUGGGGUAAUGGCCUACCAAGCCGACGAUCCAUAGCUGGUUUGAGAGGAUGAUCAGCCACACUGGGACUGAGACACGGCCCAGACUCCUACGGGAGGCAGCAGUGGGGAAUCUUAGACAAUGGGCGCAAGCCUGAUCUAGCCAUGCCGCGUGAGCGACGAAGGCCUUAGGGUUGUAACGCUCUUUCAGUGGGGAAGAUAAUGACUGUACCCACAGAAGAAGCCCGGCUAACUCCGUG